CAGCAGCCGCGGUAAUACGAAGGGGACUAGCGUUGUCCGGAAUUACUGGGCGUAAAGCGCACGCAGGCGGCUCGAUAAAUUAGAAGUGAAAGCCUUGGGCUUAACCUGAGAAUUGCUUUUAAGACUGUCGAGCUAGAAUCCAGAAGAGGGUAGUGGAAUUCCGAGUGUAGAGGUGAAAUUCGUAGAUAUUCGGAAGAACACCAGUGGCGAAGGCGACUACCUGGUCUGGCAUUGACGCUCAUGUGCGAAAGCGUGGGGAGCAAACAGGAUUAGAUACCCCCGUAGUCCCUGUCUCUUAUAC
This 301-nucleotide ribosomal RNA is filed under the name uncultured bacterium. RNAcentral's name for it is "partial 16S ribosomal RNA". It matches the Rfam family "Bacterial small subunit ribosomal RNA", at positions 509 to 807 of the family's 1533-position model. The record is from RNAcentral.